GAUCAUGCUCAGAACGAACGCUGGCGGCAGGCUUAACACAUGCAAGUUGAGCGGGAUUCAUUUAUAGCUUGCUAUGGAUGAUGAGAGCAGCGCACUGGUGAGUAACACGUGGGAACAUGCCUUUUGGUGGGGGACAACAGUUGGAAACGACUGCUAAUACCGCAUACGCCCUGAGGGGGAAAGAUUAAUUGCCGAAAGAUUGGCCCGCGGAAGAUUAGGUAGUAGGUGGGGUAACGGCCUACCUAGCCGACGAUCUAUAGCUGGUCUGAGAGGACGAUCAGCCACAUUGGAACUGAGACACGGUCCAGACUCCUACGGGAGGCAGCAGUGAGGAAUAUUGGGCAAUGGAGGGAACUCUGACCCAGCCAUGCCGCGUGAGUGAAGAAGGUUUUCGGAUUGUAAAGCUCUUUCAGAUGGGAAGAUGAUGACGGUACCAUCAGAAGAAGCACCGGCUAACUUCGUGCCAGCAGCAGC
Molecule: ribosomal RNA, 474 nt
Filed under: uncultured bacterium
Lineage: Bacteria
Description: bacterial SSU rRNA
Rfam family: Bacterial small subunit ribosomal RNA
Source: RNAcentral